This 1273-nucleotide long non-coding RNA is filed under the name Anas platyrhynchos platyrhynchos (common mallard). Its description in RNAcentral is "lncRNA (ENSAPLG00000030190.1)". Lineage: Eukaryota; Metazoa; Chordata; Aves; Anseriformes; Anatidae. The record is from RNAcentral.
GUUCCACGUGGCCCAGGAUAAACAAUGAGCAAAUCGCAUCGAUUCGGAGCAGCCAGCUUGCAUCGCUAAUCAUAUUUCUGAAAGAUGCCAACAGAGGGCAUCCGCUGCCAGACACACAGCCUGCAUCCUCCUGCUGCAAACCCUCCGCCUGUAUUCAGCUAAAGAACAUCUCAGCUUUUAACCCUCUCCCACUUGGGCUCAGGUUAAGCAUUGUCAGUGGCUUUUUAAGCAAAUAGGCUUUUUUUAGUGGUGUUUUUUUUUACCUUUCUUUUGGAGAGAAGAGAAGGAAGAGGGUGGGGGAACAAUAAUCCACAGCUGCAGUCUCUUGGUCAAGGCAGGACUUUGAUAACUGGUGUCUAAGUGGGAUCUCUGUAGAGCCUGGCAGAGCAAGAGCCAGGUUCAAAGGGAAGGUGGAGGCUCUGAUGUUGUCCUGUGCAGCUGUAAACAAAAUCAGAAGCACUGCUGUGCUGGGGCUGGAGGAGAGUGGGAGCCUUCGUGACAGAUGUCCUGUCUUUUGUGGGCUUAAAUAGUCAGUUUUAUUUAUAGGUGUUUAUUCCUGGUGUUUAAUCUCCUUGUUUCAUGUCUCUCGUGGACAGUCAAAAAGAAAUCGAACUUCUAAAGCCUGCUGCUCCCUCUGGUAAAUACACAUUGAUGUUUGGGCUGUGGAGCAGGCUCACUCUGAGCACGCUGUUGCUCUUAUUUUGUUAAGAUCUCACACCAAAGCAGCUGAGACCUUCCCAGGCUAGGAUGCAGGCAUGUUAAUCCAGCUUUGACUGGGGCAGCAGAGGUCCCAAGGCAAGGGCUGGUGUCAGAGGCAGGGCUUGAGUGAGGGUUAGGGAUGGCAGAUGUGGAAGGAAAACCUGGAUGUCAGGAAGCAGAGAAAGCGAGGGCUGCUCUGCAAAGGGCAGCAGCAGGGGGAGAGGAAUUGGCUGCUGCAAGGGGAGGGGGGCAAAGCGAGGCAGGCAGCGGGCUGGGAGUCCCAGCAGUGGGGGAGAGGCAGGGAGAAGCAGGUGGCAGGGCUGUGCUGGCAUUAAAGUGCAGGCAGGAGCCCCCCUGCUCGGCCCGGGGCUGCCCGGGAGGCGCAGGUAGAGCCGAGCCCCGAGCCCCCCAGCCCGGGGGGAGGACGCGGCGCCCCGAGCAGCAUCCCCCAGCCUCGGAGGACGGGGGGAAGGCGGCCGGGCCCCCGGAGCGGGGCCGUGCGAGCCCUCGCUGGGCCUCGGAGCGGGGCCGGGGCGGGGGCGGCGGCGGGGCCGGGGGCGGACCCGAGGCGGAG